GCGCAUUUUAAUGAAACGUUUUAUAUUUUAUAUAAAUCUAGAGAUAGAAGAAGUGACAGCAUGCAUGAAUAAACAUCACCUUUAAGUUAUUACACCCCUUUACAUCACUUUAAGAGAUAAGGCCGCAAUUUUCACCCCAAACUAGGCUCCAUUCAGUGACAUUGCAGUUACAAGCCAGCAGAAGUCCAAUUCAUUUCAAAUCCAAAAGCAAGCUAUUCAAUUAAAGCACAUUUUAAGGCAUAACAGGCAUAAGAAUAAUACUGUAAAUAACUAUUUACAUUCAUUAAGGUGUAAUAUACAUCAGUGCAUCUGCAGCAGGCUGUACACUGCGUCAUUGGUG
This is a long non-coding RNA of Ictalurus punctatus (channel catfish), 340 nucleotides long. Lineage: Eukaryota; Metazoa; Chordata; Actinopteri; Siluriformes; Ictaluridae. The record is from Ensembl.